RNAcentral lists this ribosomal RNA (554 nucleotides) under Saccharomyces cerevisiae (brewer's yeast). Its description in RNAcentral is "eukaryotic LSU rRNA". It matches the Rfam family "Eukaryotic large subunit ribosomal RNA", at positions 47 to 604 of the family's 3401-position model. Lineage: Eukaryota; Fungi; Ascomycota; Saccharomycetes; Saccharomycetales; Saccharomycetaceae. The record is from RNAcentral.
UAAGCGGAGGAAAAGAAACCAACCGGGAUUGCCUUAGUAACGGCGAGUGAAGCGGCAAAAGCUCAAAUUUGAAAUCUGGUACCUUCGGUGCCCGAGUUGUAAUUUGGAGAGGGCAACUUUGGGGCCGUUCCUUGUCUAUGUUCCUUGGAACAGGACGUCAUAGAGGGUGAGAAUCCCGUGUGGCGAGGAGUGCGGUUCUUUGUAAAGUGCCUUYGAAGAGUCGAGUUGUUUGGGAAUGCAGCUCUAAGUGGGUGGUAAAUUCCAUCUAAAGCUAAAUAUUGGCGAGAGACCGAUAGCGAACAAGUACAGUGAUGGAAAGAUGAAAAGAACUUUGAAAAGAGAGUGAAAAAGUACGUGAAAUUGUUGAAAGGGAAGGGCAUUUGAUCAGACAUGGUGUUUUGUGCCCUCUGCUCCUUGUGGGUAGGGGAAUCUCGCAUUUCACUGGGCCAGCAUCAGUUUUGGUGGCAGGAUAAAUCCAUAGGAAUGUAGCUUGCCUCGGUAAGUAUUAUAGCCUGUGGGAAUACUGCCAGCUGGGACUGAGGACUGCGACGUAA